CAUGUAGGCGGUUUGAUAAGUCGGAUGUGAAAUCCCUGGGCUUAACCUGGGAAUGGCAUUCGAUACUGUCAGGCUAGAGUAGGAUAGAGGAGAGGGGAAUUCCGCGUGUAGCAGUGAAAUGCGUAGAUAUGCGGAGGAACACCAAUGGCGAAGGCACCUCUCUGGGUCCAUACUGACGCUGAGAUGCGAAAGCGUGGGGAGCAAACA
This 207-nucleotide ribosomal RNA is filed under the name uncultured bacterium. RNAcentral describes it as "partial 16S ribosomal RNA". It matches the Rfam family "Bacterial small subunit ribosomal RNA", at positions 568 to 774 of the family's 1533-position model. The record is from RNAcentral.